Molecule: ribosomal RNA, 627 nt
Filed under: uncultured bacterium
Lineage: Bacteria
Description: bacterial SSU rRNA
Rfam family: Bacterial small subunit ribosomal RNA (bases 1-542)
Source: RNAcentral
CCUACGGGAGGCAGCAGUGGGGAAUUUUGGACAAUGGGCGAAAGCCUGAUCCAGCCAUGCCGCGUGCAGGAUGAAGGCCUUCGGGUUGUAAACUGCUUUUGUACGGAACGAAAAGGUCUUUUCUAAUAAAGAGGGCCCAUGACGGUACCGUAAGAAUAAGCACCGGCUAACUACGUGCCAGCAGCCGCGGUAAUACGUAGGGUGCAAGCGUUAAUCGGAAUUACUGGGCGUAAAGCGUGCGCAGGCGGUUAUAUAAGACAGUUGUGAAAUCCCCGGGCUCAACCUGGGAACUGCAUCUGUGACUGUAUAGCUAGAGUACGGUAGAGGGGGAUGGAAUUCCGCGUGUAGCAGUGAAAUGCGUAGAUAUGCGGAGGAACACCGAUGGCGAAGGCAAUCCCCUGGACCUGUACUGACGCUCAUGCACGAAAGCGUGGGGAGCAAACAGGAUUAGAUACCCUGGUAGUCCACGCCCUAAACGAUGUCAACUGGUUGUUGGGUCUUCACUGACUCAGUAACGAAGCUAACGCGUGAAGUUGACCGCCUGGGGAGGUACGGCCGCGAGUAGAACGUACGAAGAAGUUAGUACGCGUGAGACGUAGCCGACGGACGACGACGAGGGAGGUUAGG